AUUAAAGCAUUAUUUCCCAAAUCCAACACUCUCAAAUUCACAAAUCUCUGCAACAAAUCUCCCCUAAAAAAACCACCACCCAAGUUAUUAUGACUCAAAUUCAUAAUCUGAACUGUUGCAGCUAAUGCAGAUAUAUUCUCCGGUGCCAUACUCGAAAACGACCCAAAAAACGAGUUGUUACUCAAAUCCAAUGCAGAUACAUUAUCCGGUCCCAUAUUCGAAAACGACCCGAAAAAGGAGUUGUUACUCAAAUCAAGAUGCUCAAGAUACCUCAACUCAUAAAACAACUCCUCAAUAUCACCCC
This 304-nucleotide long non-coding RNA is filed under the name Nicotiana benthamiana. RNAcentral describes it as "long non-coding RNA (NBEN_LNC025640)". Lineage: Eukaryota; Viridiplantae; Streptophyta; Magnoliopsida; Solanales; Solanaceae. The record is from RNAcentral.